UAUUCACUGGAUUUUUCACCUUUUAAACAAUUUGUGGUAAACCCAUUUUAGCUUUUCCUUAUUUUCAUGAAUAAAUUCUAAUCUCAAUUGAUAUGAACACAUUCUCAAUUAUUGGUUAGUAACUAUCAAGGCUUACAUUAGAUGUUAAACUUAAAAUUGGCCACCACCCACCCUUAAAGUAAUUAAAUUAUUUAGGCAGUUCAUGGGUAUAGGCUUUUGUUUUUGCCCUUCUCUUUUGUUGAUUAGCCUAUAGACGUUUAAGCGACAGUUCUCGGACUGUUGCGCGUACAAGUACGUGCGGCUUGCCCACAAACGUGUGAAGGGCUCCUCAUUUUUUUUCCUCCCCUAAAUUAACUAUCCAGUUUGAUGGAUUUUUUGAGGAAAACCUAGCGUAGCUCUGUUGUAUCCACAACCAGAGGGCGAAAACGCUUUUAUCACCUAUCACGUAUUUAAACAUUCAAUAUGGACAUUCAAUUUAAUAAAAGUUAUUCCUUUUACAGAACCUAUUCCUUUUACAGUACCUGUUCAUUUUACAGUACCUUGAUAGCCAAGUUAUUCCUUUUACAGAACCUAUUCCUUUUACAGUACCUGUUCAUUUUACAGUACCUUGAUAGCCAACUUAUAUCAUACUAGAUUCUUAUGGAUGCACAUCAAAGCAAUUUUGAUCUUUUUGAUUUAGACAAUAUAACUUCUACAAGUCAAAUAAAUUUAGAGGUUAUUGAUUUUUUUAUCUCAGUCAGCCAGAAUUGAGCAAAUGCGAAAUAACCUGUUUCAUUAAAUUUUAAAUAUUGUGUAUAUAAAUACGAUUACUUUUAUAAUAUAAAUUGAAUGCCCAUAUUGAAUGUUUAAAUAAUUGUUUGGUUUUUCAAAUAAAAUAAUUAUAUUUUUAGAUUAAUCAUUUUAUAUUAUCAUUUUUUUAUAUUCAAAAUAGCAAGCGACAAUAAAGACAAGAAGUAUACACAGAAAUAAACUAUUGACAGGAUUAACAAAUUGUUAUAAAGUAUUCUCUUUUAGCCAAAGAAUCAUUUUUAUUAAAUACACAAAGGCCCUUUUGAAAUUUUUUUUGUUUUAAAAUGUAGCCUUUUUUUUGAUCCAAGAAAAAUUUAUAUUUUUUAUAGUCAAAAAAGAAAUAAACAACUUUUCAUUAUAAUGUGAAUUCUCAUAGCAGAUUUGAAUAUGAAUAUUUUUUUAAAAAGCUUAUAUCAUACUAGAUUCUUAUGGAUGA
This is an RNA transcript of Gordionus sp. m RMFG-2023, 1225 nucleotides long. RefSeq lists it as uncharacterized. The transcript has 5 exons. The record is from RefSeq and is a predicted model, not a curated record. Lineage: Eukaryota; Metazoa; Nematomorpha; Gordioida; Chordodea; Parachordodidae.